GAAUAUUGGACAAUGGGCGAAAGCCUGAUCCAGCAAUGCCGCGUGUGUGAAGAAGGCCUGCGGGUUGUAAAGCACUUUUAUCGGGAAAGAAAAUCACAGGACUAAUACUUCUGUGCCUUGACAGUACCCGAAGCAUAAGCACCGGCUAACUCCGUGCCAGCAGCCGCGGUAAUACGGAGGGUGCAAGCGUUAAUCGGAAUUACUGGGCGUAAAGCGCGCGUAGGUGGCUUGAUAAGCCGGUUGUGAAAGCCCCGGGCUCAACCUGGGAACGGCAUCCGGAACUGUCAGGCUAGAGUGCAGGAGAGGAAGGUAGAAUUCCCGGUGUAGCGGUGAAAUGCGUAGAGAUCGGGAGGAAUACCAGUGGCGAAGGCGGCCUUCUGGACUGACACUGACACUGAGGUGCGAAAGCGUGGGUAGCAAACAGG
This 425-nucleotide ribosomal RNA is filed under the name uncultured bacterium. Its description in RNAcentral is "bacterial SSU rRNA". It matches the Rfam family "Bacterial small subunit ribosomal RNA", at positions 359 to 776 of the family's 1533-position model. The record is from RNAcentral.